CUAAGUAUAAGCAACUAUACUGUGAAACUGCGAAUGGCUCAUUAAAUCAGUUAUCGUUUAUUUGAUAGUGCCCUUUACUACUUGGAUAACCGUGGUAAUUCUAGAGCUAAUACAUGCUUAAAACCCCGACUUCGGAAGGGGUGUAUUUAUUAGAUAAAAAACCAAUGCCCUUCGGGGCUCUUUGGUGAUUCAUAAUAACGCAACGAAUCGCAUGGCCUUGUGCCGGCGAUGGUUCAUUCAAAUUUCUGCCCUAUCAACUUUCGAUUGUAGUUUAGUGGACUACAAUGGUUUCAACGGGUAACGGGGAAUUAGGGUUCGACUCCGGAGAGGGAGCCUGAGAAACGGCUACCACAUCCAAGGAAGGCAGCAGGCGCGCAAAUUACCCAAUCCCGACUCGGGGAGGUAGUGACAAUAAAUACUGAUACAGGGCUCUUUUGGGUCUUGUAAUUGGAAUGAGUACAAUUUAAAUCCCUUAACGAGGAACAAUUGGAGGGCAAGUCUGGUGCCAGCAGCCGCGGUAAUUCCAGCUCCAAUAGCGUAUAUUAAAGUUGUUGCAGUUAAAAAGCUCGUAGUUGAACCUUGGGCCUGGCUGACCGGUCCGCCUCACCGCGUGCACUGGCUCGGCCGGGCCUUUCCUUCUGUGGAUCCGCAUGCCCUUCACUGGGUGUGUUGGGGAAACAGGACUUUUACUUUGAAAAAAUUAGAGUGUUCAAAGCAGGCCUUUGCUCGAAUACAUUAGCAUGGAAUAAUAGAAUAGGACGGCCUUCCUAUUUUGUUGGUUUCUAGGAGUGCCGUAAUGAUUAAUAGGGAUAGUUGGGGGCAUCUGUAUUCAAUUGUCAGAGGUGAAAUUCUUGGAUUUAUUGAAGACAAACUACUGCGAAAGCAUUUGCCAAAGAUGUUUUCAUUAAUCAGUGAACGAAAGUUAGGGGAUCGAAGACGAUCAGAUACCGUCGUAGUCUUAACCAUAAACUAUGCCGACUAGGGAUCGGGCGAUGUUACUAUCUUGACUCGCUCGGCACCUUUCGAGAAAUCAAAGUUUUUGGGUUCUGGGGGGAGUAUGGUCGCAAGGCUGAAACUUAAAGAAAUUGACGGAAGGGCACCACCAGGAGUGGAGCCUGCGGCUUAAUUUGACUCAACACGGGGAAACUCACCAGGUCCAGAUACACGUAGGAUUGACAGAUUGAGAGCUCUUUCUUGAUUGUGUAGUUGGUGGUGCAUGGCCGUUCUUAGUUGGUGGAGUGAUUUGUCUGCUUAAUUGCGAUAACGAACGAGACCUUCAUCGUUAAAUAGCCCGGCUCGCUUUGGCGUGUCGCCGGCUUCUUAGCGAGACUUUUGGCUUAAGCCAAAGGAAGUUGGAGGCAAUAACAGGUCUGUGAUGCCCUUAGAUGUUCUGGGCUGCACGCGCGCUACACUGACAGAGCCAACGAGUUUUUUUCCUUGGCCGGAAGGCCUGGGUAAUCUUGUUAAACUCUGUC
Molecule: ribosomal RNA, 1475 nt
Filed under: Pseudosigmoidea cranei
Lineage: Eukaryota; Fungi; Ascomycota; Dothideomycetes; Venturiales; Sympoventuriaceae
Description: SSU rRNA
Rfam family: Eukaryotic small subunit ribosomal RNA
Source: RNAcentral